RNAcentral lists this ribosomal RNA (460 nucleotides) under uncultured bacterium. RNAcentral describes it as "partial 16S ribosomal RNA". It matches the Rfam family "Bacterial small subunit ribosomal RNA", at positions 338 to 795 of the family's 1533-position model. The record is from RNAcentral.
CCUACGGGUGGCAGCAGUGAGGAAUAUUGGUCAAUGGACGCAAGUCUGAACCAGCCAUGCCGCGUGCAGGAAGACGGCUCUAUGAGUUGUAAACUGCUUUUGUACGAGGGUAAACGCAGAUACGUGUAUCUGUCUGAAAGUAUCCUACGAAUAAGGAUCGGCUAACUCCGUGCCAGCAGCCGCGGUAAUACGGAGGAUUCAAGCGUUAUCCGGAUUUAUUGGGUUUAAAGGGUGCGUAGGCGGACGGAUAAGUUAGAUGUGAAAGCCCGGGGCUCAACGUCGGAAUUGCCGCUGAUACUGGUCGGCUAGAGAGUAGUUGCGGUAGGCGGAAUGUAUGGUGUAGCGGUGAAAUGCUUAGAGAUCAUACAGAACACCGAUUGCGAAGGCAGCUUGCCAAGGUACAUCUGACGUUGAGGCACGAAAGCGUGGGGAGCGAACAGGAUUAGAUACCCUUGUAGUC